This 482-nucleotide ribosomal RNA is filed under the name uncultured bacterium. Its description in RNAcentral is "bacterial SSU rRNA". It matches the Rfam family "Bacterial small subunit ribosomal RNA", at positions 29 to 506 of the family's 1533-position model. The record is from RNAcentral.
UUGAACGCUGGCGGAAUGCUUUACACAUGCAAGUCGAGCGGCAGCGCGGGGGCAACCCUGGCGGCGAGCGGCGAACGGGUGAGUAAUACAUCGGAACGUACCCAGUUGUGGGGGAUAGCCCGGCGAAAGCCGGAUUAAUACCGCAUAUUCUGUGAGCAGGAAAGCAGGGGAUCGCAAGACCUUGCGCUUUAGGAGCGGCCGAUGUCGGAUUAGCUAGUUGGUGAGGUAAAGGCUCACCAAGGCGACGAUCCGUAGCGGGUCUGAGAGGAUGAUCCGCCACACUGGGACUGAGACACGGCCCAGACUCCUACGGGAGGCAGCAGUGGGGAAUUUUGGACAAUGGGCGCAAGCCUGAUCCAGCCAUGCCGCGUGAGUGAAGAAGGCCUUCGGGUUGUAAAGCUCUUUCGGCGGGGAAGAAAUCGCACGGGUUAAUACCUCGUGUGGAUGACGGUACCCGAAUAAGAAGCACCGGCUAACUACGU